Molecule: ribosomal RNA, 450 nt
Filed under: uncultured bacterium
Lineage: Bacteria
Description: partial 16S ribosomal RNA
Rfam family: Bacterial small subunit ribosomal RNA
Source: RNAcentral
GUGGGGAAUAUUGGACAAUGGGCGAAAGCCUGAUCCAGCCAUGCCGCGUGUGUGAAGAAGGUCUUCGGAUUGUAAAGCACUUUAAGUUGGGAGGAAGGGCAGUAAGUUAAUACCUUGCUGUUUUGACGUUACCGACAGAAUAAGCACCGGCUAACUUCGUGCCAGCAGCCGCGGUAAUACGAAGGGUGCAAGCGUUAAUCGGAAUUACUGGGCGUAAAGCGCGCGUAGGUGGUUUUGUAAGUUGGAGGUGAAAGCCCCGGGCUCAACCUGGGAACUGCCUCCAAAACUGCAUGACUAGAGUACGGUAGAGGGUAGUGGAAUUUCCGGUGUAGCGGUGAAAUGCGUAGAUAUAGGAAGGAACACCAGUGGCGAAGGCGACUACCUGGACUGAUACUGACACUGAGGUGCGAAAGCGUGGGGAGCAAACAGGAUUAGAAACCCGGGUAGUCC